AACGAACGCUGGCGGCAUGCCUAACACAUGCAAGUCGAACGAGACCUUCGGGUCUAGUGGCGCACGGGUGCGUAACGCGUGGGAACCUGCCCUUAGGUUCGGAAUAACUCCCCGAAAGGGGUGCUAAUACCGGAUAAUGUCUUCGGACCAAAGAUUUAUCGCCUUUGGAUGGGCCCGCGUUGGAUUAGCUAGUUGGUAGGGUAAAAGCCUACCAAGGCGACGAUCCAUAGCUGGUCUGAGAAGAUGAUCAGCCACACUGGGACUGAGACACGGCCCAGACUCCUACGGGAGGCAGCAGUGGGGAAUAUUGGAAAAUGGGCGAAAGCCUGAUCAAGCAAUGACGCGUGAGUGAUGAAGGCCUUAGGGUUGUAAAGCUCUUUUACCCGGGAUGAUAAUGACAGUACCGGGAGAAUAAGCUCCGGCUAACUCCGUG
This 433-nucleotide ribosomal RNA is filed under the name uncultured bacterium. RNAcentral describes it as "partial 16S ribosomal RNA". It matches the Rfam family "Bacterial small subunit ribosomal RNA", at positions 29 to 507 of the family's 1533-position model. The record is from RNAcentral.